CGAGAGUUUUUAACUCAGUGGCGGACGGGUGAGUAACACGUAAGAAUUUGCCUUUGGAGGGGGACAACAACUGGAAACGGUUGCUAAUACCCCAUAUGCUUUCGAGUGAAAUGGAUUUUUCCGCCUAGAGAGAAGCUUGCGGCUGAUUAGCUUGUUGGUGAGGUAAUGGCUCACCAAGGCGACGAUCAGUAUCUGGUUUGAGAGGACGAUCAGACACACUGGAACUGAGACACGGUCCAGACUCCUACGGGAGGCAGCAGUGGGGAAUUUUCCGCAAUGGGCGAAAGCCUGACGGAGCAAUACCGCGUGAGGGAUGACGGCCUAUGGGUUGUAAACCUCUUUUUUCAGGGAGGAAUAAAAUGACGUGUACCUGAAGAAUAAGCAUCGGCUAACUCCGUGCCAGCAGCCGCGGUAAGACGGAGGAUGCAAGUGUUAUCCGGAAUCACUGGGCGUAAAGCGUCUGUAGGUGGUCCAAUAAGUCAACUGUUAAAUCUUGAGGCUCAACCUCAAAACCGCAGUCGAAACUAUUAGACUAGAGUAUAGUA
Molecule: ribosomal RNA, 545 nt
Filed under: uncultured phototrophic eukaryote
Lineage: Eukaryota
Description: bacterial SSU rRNA
Rfam family: Bacterial small subunit ribosomal RNA
Source: RNAcentral